AAUGACAAGUGUCUUCAUCUGCAC
RNAcentral lists this non-coding RNA (24 nucleotides) under Arabidopsis thaliana (thale cress). The record is from RNAcentral. Lineage: Eukaryota; Viridiplantae; Streptophyta; Magnoliopsida; Brassicales; Brassicaceae.